GACGAACGUUGGCGGCGUGCUUAAUACAUGCAAGUCAACUGAAGCAGUGGUAGCAAUAUCGCUUUGGAGGUGGCGCACGGGUGAGUAACACGUAGGUAAUCUGCCUUCAGGUCUGGCAUAACUCCGGGAAACCGGGGCUAAUAGCAGAUGAUGCAGCGGCUCGACAUCGAGACAGUUGUUAAAGCUAUGGCGCCUGAAGAUGAGCCUGCGUCUGAUUAGCUAGUUGGCGGGGUAACGGCCCACCAAGGCAACGAUCAGUAGCUGGUCUGAGAGGAUGAUCAGCCACACUGGAACUGAGACACGGUCCAGACUACUACGGGAGGCAGCAGUAAGGAAUAUUGCUCAAUGGGAGAAAUCCUGAAGCAGCAACGCCGCGUGAGGGACGAAGGGCUUUUGCUUGUAAACCUCUGUAGUGAGAGAAAAAAAUCCCAAUCUUUGGGACAUGAUGGUAUCUCAAAAGUAAGCCCCGGCUAACUACGUG
This 481-nucleotide ribosomal RNA is filed under the name uncultured bacterium. RNAcentral's name for it is "partial 16S ribosomal RNA". It matches the Rfam family "Bacterial small subunit ribosomal RNA", at positions 28 to 507 of the family's 1533-position model. The record is from RNAcentral.